AAGUCGUAACGAGGUUUCCGUAGGUGAACCUGCGGAAGGAUCGUUACAGAGUUGUCGACACGAGUUGUUGCUGGUCCUCAAAUGGGGGCAUGUGCACGCUCUGUUCACACAUCCACUCACACCUGUGCACCCUCUUGUAGUUCUAGUGUGGCUGGGACCGCAUCCGUCCUUCGUCCGUGUCUAUGUCUUUACACAUACACCGUAGCGAAGUCUUAUGGAAUGUACUCUGCGUUUAACGCGAUAUAAUACAA
Molecule: unclassified non-coding RNA, 251 nt
Filed under: plant metagenome
Description: partial contains small subunit ribosomal RNA and internal transcribed spacer 1
Rfam family: Eukaryotic small subunit ribosomal RNA (bases 1-46)
Source: RNAcentral